This 400-nucleotide long non-coding RNA is filed under the name Sinocyclocheilus grahami. RNAcentral's name for it is "lncRNA (ENSSGRG00000010871.1)". Lineage: Eukaryota; Metazoa; Chordata; Actinopteri; Cypriniformes; Cyprinidae. The record is from RNAcentral.
UUCUGAAUCUUUUCCCAUAAUGCAACAGUCAACAAAGGAAGAGGGAGAGAAACGGGCUGUAGCCAAAGUGGCUAGUGGCUAGCAGCUAGCACAAAAAAGAGGAAGAGAGAAAUGGAGCUGUCAUAAAACUUUAAGGAAUGUUUCUCUCAUCAAACGGGCAAGUACAGCUGAGGAGAAAACAGCCUCGGCUCUUCGCGUGCACGAGAUGAUGACAGACCAUCAGCAAUUUACAGACACAUUCGACCCAGAUCCAUCUUUCUGAAGGAAGAGAGGGGAAUUAAACUCUAUUUAAAGUGAUGACGAAGGCUUUGGCGUUCACAUGAUUGACAUUUCCCAGUCACAUGGCCAGACCCUGCGGUUAGCAUCCUUCGGUCAGCAGAUAAGACCGUCCCAUGCCCUC